ACGAGUGGCGAACGGGUGAGUAAAGUAUCGGAACGUACCUUUCAGUGGGGGAUAACGUAGCGAAAGUUACGCUAAUACCGCAUAUUCUGUGAGCAGGAAAGCAGGGGAUCGCAAGACCUUGCGCUGAUUGAGCGGCCGAUAUCAGAUUAGCUAGUUGGUGAGGUAAAGGCUCACCAAGGCGACGAUCUGUAGCGGGUCUGAGAGGAUGAUCCGCCACACUGGAACUGAGACACGGUCCAGACUCCUACGGGAGGCAGCAGUGGGGAAUUUUCGACAAUGGGGGCAACCCUGAUCCAGCCAUGCCGCGUGAGUGAAGAAGGCCUUCGGGUUGUAAAGCUCUUUCGGCCGGGAAGAAAUCGUAUGGGUUAAUACCCUGUGCGGAUGACGGUACCGGCAUAAGAAGCACCGGCUAACUACGUGCCAGCAGCCGCGGUAAUACGUAGGGUGCGAGCGUUAAUCGGAAUUACUGGGCGUAAAGCGUGCGCAGGCGGUUUUGUAAGACAGGCGUGAAAUCCCCGGGCUCAACCUGGGAACUGCGCUUGUGACUGCAAGGCUAGAGUAUGGCAGAGGGGGGUGGAAUUCCACGUGUAGCAGUGAAAUGCGUAGAGAUGUGGAGGAACACCAAUGGCGAAGGCAGCCCCCUGGGCCAAUACUGACGCUCAUGCACGAAAGCGUGGGUAGCAAACAGGAUUAGAUACCCUGGUAGUCCACGCCCUAAACGAUGUCAACUAGGUGUUGGGUGGGUAAAACCAUUUAGUACCGGAGCUAACGCGUGAAGUUGACCGCCUGGGGAGUACGGCCGCAAGGUUAAAACUCAAAGGAAUUGACGGGGACCCGCACAAGCGGUGGAUGAUGUGGAUUAAUUCGAUGCAACGCGAAAAACCUUACCUACCCUUGACAUGUCCAGGAGCCUGAAGAGAUUUGGGUGUGCCCGAAAGGGAACUGGAACACAGGUGCUGCAUGGCUGUCGUCAGCUCGUGUCGUGAGAUGUUGGGUUAAGUCCCGCAACGAGCGCAACCCUUGUCGUUAAUUGCCAUCAUUUAGUUGGGCACUUUAACGAGACUGCCGGUGACAAACCGGAGGAAGGUGGGGAUGACGUCAAGUCCUCAUGGCCCUUAUGGGUAGGGCUUCACACGUCAUACAAUGGUCGGUACAAAGGGUUGCCAACCCGCGAGGGGGAGCCAAUCCCAGAAAGCCGAUCGUAGUCCGGAUCGCAGGCUGCAACUCGCCUGCGUGAAGUCGGAAUCGCUAGUAAUCGUGGAUCAGCAUGUCACGGUGAAUACGUUCCCGGGUCUUGUACACACCGCCCGUCACACCAUGGGAGCGGGUUCCGCCAGAAGUAGGUAGCCUAACCGCAAGGGGGGCGCUUACCACGGCGGGGUUCGUGACUGGGGUGAAGUCGUAACAAGGUA
This 1412-nucleotide ribosomal RNA is filed under the name metagenome. Its description in RNAcentral is "bacterial SSU rRNA". It matches the Rfam family "Bacterial small subunit ribosomal RNA". The record is from RNAcentral.